UACGUAGGUGGCAAGCGUUAUCCGGAUUUAUUGGGCGUAAAGGGAACGCAGGCGGUCUUUUAAGUCUGAUGUGAAAGCCUUCGGCUUAACCGGGGAGGGUCAUUGGAAACUGGGAGACUUGAGUGCAGAAGAGGAGAGUGGAAUUCCAUGUGUAGCGGUGAAAUGCGUAGAUAUAUGGAGGAACACCAGUGGCGAAGGCGGCUCUCUGGUCUGUAACUGACGCUGAGGCUCGAAAGCGUGGGGAGCAAACAGG
RNAcentral lists this ribosomal RNA (253 nucleotides) under uncultured bacterium. RNAcentral describes it as "partial 16S ribosomal RNA". It matches the Rfam family "Bacterial small subunit ribosomal RNA", at positions 524 to 776 of the family's 1533-position model. The record is from RNAcentral.